CCUACUGGCGGCAGCAGUGAGGAAUAUUGGUCAAUGGCCGAGAGGCUGAACCAGCCAAGUCGCGUGAGGGAAGACGGCCCUACGGGUUGUAAACCUCUUUUGUCGGGGAGCAAAGAGAGUCACGUGUGACUCAUUGAGAGUACCCGAAGAAAAAGCAUCGGCUAACUCCGUGCCAGCAGCCGCGGUAAUACGGAGGAUGCGAGCGUUAUCCGGAUUUAGUGGGUUUAAAGGGUGCGCAGGCGGAGGUGCAAGUCAGCGGUCAAAUUGCGGGGCUCAACCCCGUCCUGCCGUUGAAACUGCAUCCCUUGAGUGCGCGAGAAGUAUGCGGAAUGCGUGGUGUAGCGGUGAAAUGCAUAGAUAUUAGGAGGAACACCAGUGGCGAAGGCGGCCUGCUGGGCUUUUACUGACGCUGAGGCUCGAAAGCGUGGGUAGCAAACAGGAUUAGAUACCCGUGUAGUC
RNAcentral lists this ribosomal RNA (459 nucleotides) under uncultured bacterium. RNAcentral describes it as "partial 16S ribosomal RNA". It matches the Rfam family "Bacterial small subunit ribosomal RNA", at positions 338 to 795 of the family's 1533-position model. The record is from RNAcentral.